RNAcentral lists this ribosomal RNA (253 nucleotides) under uncultured bacterium. RNAcentral describes it as "partial 16S ribosomal RNA". It matches the Rfam family "Bacterial small subunit ribosomal RNA", at positions 524 to 776 of the family's 1533-position model. The record is from RNAcentral.
UACAGAGGGUGCGAGCGUUAAUCGGAAUUACUGGGCGUAAAGCGCACGUAGGUGGCUAAUUAAGUCGAUUGUGAAAUACCUGGGCUUAACCUGGGAACUGCAGUCGAUACUGAUUGGCUAGAGUGUAGUAGAGGGAAGUGGAAUUUCCGGUGUAGCGGUGAAAUGCGUAGAUAUCGGAAGGAACACCAGUGGCGAAGGCGACUUCCUGGACUAACACUGACACUGAGGUGCGAAAGCGUGGGUAGCGAACAGG